AGGACGAACGCUGGCGGCGUGCUUAACACAUGCAAGUCGAGCGGUAAGGCCCUUUCGGGGGUACACGAGCGGCGAACGGGUGAGUAACACGUGAGCAAUCUGCCCUUCACUUCGGGAUAAGCCUCGGAAACGGGGUCUAAUACCGGAUAUGACCGCGCUACGCAUGUGGUGUGGUGGAAAGUUCUGGCGGUGGAGGAUGAGCUCGCGGCCUAUCAGCUUGUUGGUGGGGUAAUGGCCUACCAAGGCUUCGACGGGUAGCCGGCCUGAGAGGGUGACCGGCCACACUGGGACUGAGACACGGCCCAGACUCCUACGGGAGGCAGCAGUGGGGAAUAUUGGACAAUGGGCGCAAGCCUGAUCCAGCAAUGCCGCGUGUGUGAAGAAGGCCUUCGGGUUGUAAAGACACUUAAGUU
This 413-nucleotide ribosomal RNA is filed under the name uncultured soil bacterium. Its description in RNAcentral is "bacterial SSU rRNA". It matches the Rfam family "Bacterial small subunit ribosomal RNA", at positions 26 to 440 of the family's 1533-position model. The record is from RNAcentral.